Molecule: ribosomal RNA, 470 nt
Filed under: Oxycephalus sp. USNM IZ 1450603
Lineage: Eukaryota; Metazoa; Arthropoda; Malacostraca; Amphipoda; Oxycephalidae
Description: SSU rRNA
Rfam family: Eukaryotic small subunit ribosomal RNA
Source: RNAcentral
AUGCAUGUCUAAGUACAGCUCGGUGGAGCAAUCUACCGGGCGAAACCGCGGACGGCUCAUUAAAUCAGUCGUGGUCUAAAUGGGCUAAAGUUUCCUUUUGGAUAACUGUGGAAAAUCCAGAGCUAAUACAUGCAAUUUACGAGUCCUGAGCCAAAUUCUGUUAGUUAUCUUGUAUGAUUAACAGUCGAGUAACUCGGGAUGCUUUUAUUAGACCGAGGCGCGCGCAUGCUCGGUUUAGCCUUUUGAUUUCUUUUAGAAUUUGACUGGCGGCCGUUUGUGUGUCGUUGUGUAAGCGCUUAAUGGUGAACCCUGGAUAACACUUGAUGAGCGUGCCUUAUUGGCACGCCGCCUUCUUACGAGUGACUGCCCUAUCAGCUAGUAACGUAUGUUAUACGCGAACGCUGGCUAUAACGGGUAACGGGGAAUCAGAGUUCGAUUCCGGAGAGGCAGCCUGAGAAACGGCUACCACG